UUACGAGGUCAGGACACUGUGAGGAUUGACAGAUUGAAAGCUCUUUCUUGAUUCAGUGGGUGGUGGUGCAUGGCCGUUCUUAGUUGGUGGAGUGAUUUGUCUGGUUAAUUCCGUUAACGAACGAGACCCUAACCUGCUAAAUAGUCACGCGAACCGGUCCGCAAGGGCUCAAAGUUCGCGGCUCGACUUCUUAGAGGGACUAUUCGCACCCGCCAGCGAAUGGAAGUUUGAGGCAAUAACAGGUCUGUGAUGCCCUUAGAUGUUCUCGGCCGCACGCGCGUUACACUGACGGAGUCAACGAGCGUUUUUCCUUGCCCGACAGGGCUGGGUAACCUCCUGAAACUCCGUCGUGAUGGGGAUAGAUCAUUGCAAUUAUUGAUCUUGAACGAGGAAUUCCUAGUAAGCGCGAGUCAUCAACUCGCGCUGAUUACGUACCCUGCCCUUUGUACACACCGCCCGUCGCUCCUACCGAUUGAACGGUCCGGCGAGAACUCCGGAUGGUC
Molecule: ribosomal RNA, 503 nt
Filed under: Vermamoeba vermiformis
Lineage: Eukaryota; Tubulinea; Echinamoebida; Vermamoebidae
Description: SSU rRNA
Rfam family: Eukaryotic small subunit ribosomal RNA
Source: RNAcentral